This 64-nucleotide ribosomal RNA is filed under the name Bacillota bacterium. The record is from RNAcentral. Lineage: Bacteria; Bacillati; Bacillota.
UCUGGUGCCCAUAGCGGAGGGGAAACACCCGGUCCCAUUCCGAACCCGGAAGUUAAGCCCUCCA